Molecule: unclassified non-coding RNA, 89 nt
Filed under: Pseudomonas synxantha
Lineage: Bacteria; Pseudomonadati; Pseudomonadota; Gammaproteobacteria; Pseudomonadales; Pseudomonadaceae
Source: RNAcentral
UGUGAGAGCUGGCUUGCCUGCGAUGGCGUCCGGCCAGUCACGCCUCUGCUGGCUGACCCACCGCUAUCGCAGGCAAGCCAGCUCCCACA